This 492-nucleotide ribosomal RNA is filed under the name uncultured bacterium. Its description in RNAcentral is "partial 16S ribosomal RNA". It matches the Rfam family "Bacterial small subunit ribosomal RNA", at positions 28 to 507 of the family's 1533-position model. The record is from RNAcentral.
GAUGAACGCUAGCUACAGGCUUAACACAUGCAAGUCGAGGGGAAACGACAUCGAAAGCUUGCUUUUGAUGGGCGUCGACCGGCGCACGGGUGAGUAACGCGUAUCCCACCUGCCCAUCACUUGGGAAUAACCUUGCGAAAGUAAGACUAAUACCCAAUGAUAUCCCACGAAGGCAUCGGAAUGGGAUUAAAGAUUUAUCGGUGAUGGAUGGGGAUGCGUCUGAUUAGCUUGUUGGCGGGGUAACGGCCCACCAAGGCAACGAUCAGUAGGGGUUCUGAGAGGAAGGCACACCACAUUGGAACUGAGACACGGUCCAAACUCCUACGGGAGGCAGCAGUGAGGAAUAUUGGUCAAUGGGCGAGAGCCUGAACCAGCCAAGUAGCGUGCAGGAAGACGGCCCUAUGGGUUGUAAACUGCUUUUAUAAGAGAAUAAAGUGGGUCACGUGUGACUUUUUGCAUGUACCUUAUGAAUAAGGACCGGCUAAUUCCGUG